This 487-nucleotide ribosomal RNA is filed under the name uncultured bacterium. RNAcentral describes it as "bacterial SSU rRNA". It matches the Rfam family "Bacterial small subunit ribosomal RNA", at positions 8 to 524 of the family's 1533-position model. The record is from RNAcentral.
AGAGUUUGAUCAUGGCUCAGGAUGAACGCUGGCGGCGUGCCUAACACAUGCAAGUCGAGCGAACCCUUCGGGGUGAGCGGCGGACGGGUGAGUAACGCGUGGGUAACCUGCCCUGUACACACGGAUAAUAUACCGAAAGGUAUGCUAAUACGAGAUAAUAUAUUUUAAUCGCAUGGUUAAGAUAUCAAAGCUCCGGCGGUACAGGAUGGACCCGCGUCUGAUUAGCUAGUUGGUGAGGUAAUGGCUCACCAAGGCGACGAUCAGUAGCCGACCUGAGAGGGUGAUCGGCCACACUGGAACUGAGACACGGUCCAGACUCCUACGGGAGGCAGCAGUGGGGAAUAUUGCACAAUGGGCGAAGGCCUGAUGCAGCAACGCCGCGUGAGCGAUGAAGGCCUUCGGGUCGUAAAGCUCUGUCCUCAAGGAAGAUAAUGACGGUACUUGAGGAGGAAGCCCCGGCUAACUACGUGCCAGCAGCCGCGGUAAU